AGUAUUUGUUCUUAUUGUACAGCUGUAAGCUCAAUCCACAAUGCUGUGCUUGGCCUCUGAGCACUGCACAAUUAAAAAAAAAAAAAAGAAAGAAAAAAAAAAAAAGUAAUUACCCUUCAGAUUUUUUUUAAUGCAGAAAAUACAUCAGUUAGUGUAGUUGAGUGCGUGCUUUUAAAAGUCUGACAGUGAUGAAACAAGGAAUUUAAUUCACACACAGAAGCUUAAAGAAGGAAGCUUAUAAGGGAGAUGGUUCUGAUACGUGUAGUCCUGAUAUAAAGCUAUUUAGCUUUGUAACAGAAGAAUGUACAGUGAGAUCCAGCAGAAGAUGGAAGCUGAAGCUUGGCAGACUAAGGCUAGAAAAAUCUGUGGUUUAAAUUCAGUAGGGAUAUCUAAUCGGUAGAGAAAUACAUUUAAGGGCACGACACUCUCCCCAUAUCUUCAGCAUUUUAAAUCAGCCUUCUGUUACAAACUUAGCAAUCAAAUACAAAUUGACGCAGAAGCUACUGAGUAAUUGUUGAGUGUGUGUUACACGCAAGAUCAGACUAGAGGGCAUCACAGCCCUUUUUGGUGUUCGUCUGUUUAAAUUGAAGCAGCAAUGCUAAGAAAGUGCUUCUUAGUAUAAAAACCCCCAGGGCUAAUUGCUCUUGUUUUCUUAACUUCUUUAUGGUUAUGUCUGCAGGGUGCAAUACCUUACAGAGCUUUAGCUGUUGGUGGGACACACCAAGAUCAGCAGAACAUCAUGCCGACGCCUCCAGCAUUUCACUGUGCCAGACAGACAAAUUCUGAGUGUUUUAGGGUGCAUGUGUCUCAUGCCAGUAGCAACUCUCAUGUCUGCGUGAAAGCCUCAAGGUCAAGGUUUAGGUUUUUCCUCCUGUCAUAGAGAAGAGACAGCAACCAGUUGGGAAAGGAGGAUCCAAUUCUUCCCAUGCUUUUUUAAAAGUGUAAAUUGAUAAACAAAUUACAUCUUUUGAUUGUAUUUGAACCAGUUUUAUUUAUGCAGUUUUCUGACAGGGUACUCUUUAAGGGGUCAGUCUGAAGAUUUUGCUCUGUAAUGCUUUUAAAAAUGUUUAUUGAUCUUUUUGCUGCCCUCUCAGUGUUCAGAGAGUUUUCCUGAUACUCGUUCUUUUCCUUUCUGAUGAACUUGUCAGGAAAUGAUGAAAUUAACUAUGUCUCUAGCUGUGUUAAAUGUACAGGGUGAACAAUUUCAAAAACUAGAUUAAAAACUGUUUUCUUUCCUGCAGGUCUAUUCUGACUACAGCUGUUAGUCAUUUUUUUGACAAUACGUGCACUUCCAGAAAGAACUGAUUGUCAAGGUAACAAUAUCUCCUGCAGAACACAUCUCGAGGUUCAUCUUCCUACAAAUAUUGGAAUAAAAACCGCUCUUCAUUCA
Molecule: long non-coding RNA, 1390 nt
Filed under: Anas platyrhynchos platyrhynchos (common mallard)
Lineage: Eukaryota; Metazoa; Chordata; Aves; Anseriformes; Anatidae
Description: lncRNA (ENSAPLG00000020619.1)
Source: RNAcentral